AGUGGCGGACGGGUGAGUAACGCGUGGGUAACCUGCCUUACAGAGGGGGAUAACGAUUGGAAACGAUCGCUAAUACCGCAUAAGCCCACGGGAUCGCAUGAUCCUGCGGGAAAAGAUUUAUCGCUGUAAGAUGGACCCGCGUCUGAUUAGCCAGUUGGUGGGGUAACGGCCUACCAAAGCAACGAUCAGUAGCCGACCUGAGAGGGUGAUCGGCCACAUUGGGACUGAGACACGGCCCAAACUCCUACGGGAGGCAGCAGUGGGGAAUAUUGCGCAAUGGGGGAAACCCUGACGCAGCAACGCCGCGUGAGUGAAGAAGUAUUUCGGUAUGUAAAGCUCUAUCAUCGGGGACGAGACUGACGGUACCCGAAUAAGAAGUCCCGGCUAACUACGUGCCAGCAGCCGCGGUAAUACGUAGGGGACAAGCGUUAUCCGGAUUUACUGGGUGUAAAGGGUGCGUAGGCGGCAAAGCAAGUCAGAAGUGAGAGCCCGCGGCUCAACUGCGGGACUGCUUUUGAAACUGUUUAGCUAGAGUACUGGAGGGGCAAGCGGAAUUCCUGGUGUAGCGGUGAAAUGCGUAGAUAUCAGGAAGAACACCGGAGGCGAAGGCGGCUUACUGGGCCGUAACUGACGCUGAGGCGCGAAAGCGUGGGGAGCGAACAGGAUUAGAUACCCUGGUAGUCCACGCGGUAAACGAUGAAUGCUAGGUGUAGGGGGUAUCGACCCCUCCUGCGCCGGAGUCAACACAAUAAGCAUUCCGCCUGGGGAGUACGGCCGCAAGGUUGAAACUCAAAGGAAUUGACGGGGGCCCGCACAAGCAGCGGAGCAUGUGGUUUAAUUCGACGCAACGCGAAGAACCUUACCAGGUCUUGACAUUGAUGCAAACUUGUAGAGAUACAAGGUGACUUCGGUCAGCUGAAAACAGGUGGUGCAUGGUUGUCGUCAGCUCGUGUCGUGAGAUGUUGGGUUAAGUCCCGCAACGAGCGCAACCCUUAUUGUCAGUUACUAACGGGUAGUGCUGAGGACUCUGACGAGACCGCCGGGGACAACUCGGAGGAAGGUGGGGACGACGUCAAAUCAUCAUGCCCCUUAUGACCUGGGCUACACACGUGCUACAAUGGUGACUACAAAGAGCAGCGAAGUCGCAAGGCCAAGCGAAUCUCAUAAAAGUCAUCUCAGUUCGGACUGUGGGCUGCAACCCGCCCACACGAAGUUGGAGUUGCUAGUAAUCGCGAAUCAGCAUGUCGCGGUGAAUACGUUCCCGGGCCUUGCACACACCGCCCGUCA
This 1287-nucleotide ribosomal RNA is filed under the name uncultured bacterium. Its description in RNAcentral is "bacterial SSU rRNA". It matches the Rfam family "Bacterial small subunit ribosomal RNA", at positions 94 to 1399 of the family's 1533-position model. The record is from RNAcentral.